This is a long non-coding RNA of Toxotes jaculatrix (banded archerfish), 614 nucleotides long. RefSeq lists it as uncharacterized. The transcript is spliced from 3 exons. The record is from RefSeq and is a predicted model, not a curated record. NCBI's taxonomy places the organism in Eukaryota, Metazoa, Chordata, Actinopteri, Toxotidae.
GGCAGCAGGGUGGAUAAAUAGCUCGAGACAAAUAAAAAAUACUCACUGUCAGGAAUCUGGAUGGAUCUGUGGAGAAUGAAGCCAAAGGACACCUGGACUAUCAGUUUUCUAACAGCUAGAUACGAACUCAAGCUUAUGCUCGACUGAGGACAUGAACAGCCACACAAAGCAGAGACAUCAGAUCCAACUGAACCAUCUGUCCAAAGCUGUGCAGACACACACAUCAGAAGAAACAGUCUCACCCUGACGAUGCACACAUUCCAGCGAGCCUCAAAGACAGUGGGAAUCUUGAUCCCAGUACUUCUGGUUUCUGGUAUUAUUCUUUGCUUCUGUUGCUUGUGGUCUGACCCUGUGUGAGAGCACUGUUGGAUUGGACAUGAGAGUUCAGUGAACUUCAGUGGCCUCCCCAGUCUUCAGACUUGGAUCCAGUAGAACACCUUGGGGAUGUGGUAGAACAGAAGACUAGCAGCUUGAAUGAACAGCUGACAAAACCAAAGUGCUCGGUGAUGAAGAGCAGGAGACCGGCUAAUCAAUCAUCACAAGUCCUUUCCCAGAUUGUGGAUCUCAUCUAGGACAAAGUCCAAGUCCUCCCUGCUGACCUGAGGACUGAUGAC